CGGGCCGUAGCGUAACGGCAGCGCACACCCUUGGGGUGGGUGAGGACGGAGUCCGAUUCCCCGCGGCCCGA
RNAcentral lists this transfer RNA (71 nucleotides) under Candidatus Omnitrophota bacterium. RNAcentral's name for it is "tRNA-Pro". It matches the Rfam family "tRNA". Rfam says of the family: Transfer RNA (tRNA) molecules are approximately 80 nucleotides in length. Their secondary structure includes four short double-helical elements and three loops (D, anti-codon, and T loops). Lineage: Bacteria; Pseudomonadati; Candidatus Omnitrophota. RNAcentral also lists the same sequence under 1 other name. The record is from RNAcentral.